Molecule: transfer RNA, 55 nt
Filed under: Acanthocheilonema viteae
Lineage: Eukaryota; Metazoa; Nematoda; Chromadorea; Rhabditida; Onchocercidae
Description: tRNA-Arg
Source: RNAcentral
AAAAUAUAAAUAGAUAGGACUAUAUCUGAUUACGGAUCAGCUAGAUUAUAUUUUU